GGUCAAGUGAAGAAGCGCAUACGGUGGAUGCCUUGGCAGUCAGAGGCGAUGAAAGACGUGGUAGCCUGCGAAAAGCUUCGGGGAGUCGGCAAACAGACUGUGAUCCGGAGAUGUCUGAAUGGGGGAACCCAGCCAUCAUAAGAUGGUUAUCUUACACUGAAUACAUAGGUGUAAGAGGCGAACCAGGGGAACUGAAACAUCUAAGUACCCUGAGGAAAAGAAAUCAACCGAGAUUCCCUUAGUAGUGGCGAGCGAACGGGGACCAGCCCUUAAGUUGUAUUGAGAUUAGCGGAACGCUCUGGAAAGUGCGGCCAUAGUGGGUGAUAGCCCUGUACGCGAAAAUCCCUUUGCAAUGAAAUCGAGUAGGACGGGGCACGAGAAACCUUGUCUGAAUAUGGGGGGACCAUCCUCCAAGGCUAAAUACUACUGACUGACCGAUAGUGAACCAGUACCGUGAGGGAAAGGCGAAAAGAACCGCGGAGAGCGGAGUGAAAUAGAUCCUGAAACCGUAUGCGUACAAGCAGUGGGAGCCCACUUUGUUGGGUGACUGCGUACCUUUUGUAUAAUGGGUCAGCGACUUAUUUUCAGUGGCGAGCUUAACCGAAUAGGGGAGGCGUAGCGAAAGCGAGUCUUAAUAGGGCGUCUAGUCGCUGGGAAUAGACCCGAAACCGGGCGAUCUAUCCAUGGGCAGGUUGAAGGUUGGGUAACACUAACUGGAGGACCGAACCGACUACCGUUGAAAAGUUAGCGGAUGACCUGUGGAUCGGAGUGAAAGGCUAAUCAAGCUCGGAGAUAGCUGGUUCUCCUCGAAAGCUAUUUAGGUAGCGCCUCAUGUAUCACUGUAGGGGGUAGAGCACUGUUUCGGCUAGGGGGUCAUCCCGACUUACCAAACCGAUGCAAACUCCGAAUACCUACAAGUGCCGAGCAUGGGAGACACACGGCGGGUGCUAACGUCCGUCGUGAAAAGGGAAACAACCCAGACCGUCAGCUAAGGUCCCAAAGUCAUGGUUAAGUGGGAAACGAUGUGGGAAGGCUUAGACAGCUAGGAGGUUGGCUUAGAAGCAGCCACCCUUUAAAGAAAGCGUAAUAGCUCACUAGUCGAGUCGGCCUGCGCGGAAGAUGUAACGGGGCUCAAACCAUGCACCGAAGCUACGGGUAUCACCUUUGGUGAUGCGGUAGAGGAGCGUUCUGUAAGCCUGUGAAGGUGAGUUGAGAAGCUUGCUGGAGGUAUCAGAAGUGCGAAUGCUGACAUGAGUAACGACAAUGGGUGUGAAAAACACCCACGCCGAAAGACCAAGGUUUCCUGCGCAACGUUAAUCGACGCAGGGUUAGUCGGUCCCUAAGGCGAGGCUGAAAAGCGUAGUCGAUGGAAAACAGGUUAAUAUUCCUGUACUUCUGGUUAUUGCGAUGGAGGGACGGAGAAGGCUAGGCCAGCCUGGCGUUGGUAGUCCAGGUUUAAGGUGGUAGGCUGAGAUCUUAGGUAAAUCCGGGAUCUUAAGGCCGAGAGCUGAUGACGAGUGUUCUUUUAGAACAUGAAGUGGUUGAUGCCAUGCUUCCAAGAAAAGCUUCUAAGCUUCAGGUAACCAGGAACCGUACCCCAAACCGACACAGGUGGUUGGGUAGAGAAU
This 1628-nucleotide ribosomal RNA is filed under the name Pseudomonas syringae pv. tomato. Its description in RNAcentral is "partial 23S ribosomal RNA". It matches the Rfam family "Bacterial large subunit ribosomal RNA", at positions 1 to 1679 of the family's 2925-position model. The record is from RNAcentral. Lineage: Bacteria; Pseudomonadati; Pseudomonadota; Gammaproteobacteria; Pseudomonadales; Pseudomonadaceae.